CUGGAUUACUGCACUUGUCUCCUGGCUCAUCUCCCUGCUUCUGCCUGCCGCGCUUCGGUUUAUUCUCAACACAGUCCACUUAAAACAAACUGGAGACGAGGCCACCACUCCUCCAUUCAAGCUUUCACUGGCUGCCAUCUAUUUCUAGGAUGAUGCAGCAAGAAGGGCCUCAUUGGAUGCAGCCCCUCAAUCUUGGACUUCCCAGUCUCCAGAACCAUGAGCCAAAUAAAUU
This 232-nucleotide long non-coding RNA is filed under the name Homo sapiens (human). RNAcentral's name for it is "HSALNT0323440". The record is from RNAcentral. Lineage: Eukaryota; Metazoa; Chordata; Mammalia; Primates; Hominidae.